Molecule: ribosomal RNA, 988 nt
Filed under: human gut metagenome
Description: bacterial LSU rRNA
Rfam family: Bacterial large subunit ribosomal RNA
Source: RNAcentral
AGGUGCCCGUACCGCAAACCGACACAGGUAGGUAGGAAGAAGAUUCUAAGGCCAACGGGAGAAGGGUUGUUAAGGAACUCGGCAAAUUGACCCCGUAACUUCGGGAGAAGGGGUGCUCCAGAGAUGGAGCCGCAGAGAAUCGGCCCAAGCAACUGUUUACCAAAAACACAGGUUUGUGCUAAAUCGAAAGAUGACGUAUACGAGCUGACGCCUGCCCGGUGCUGGAAGGUUAAGAGGAGAUGUGCAAGCAUUGAAUCGAAGCCCCAGUGAACGGCGGCCGUAACUAUAACGGUCCUAAGGUAGCGAAAUUCCUUGUCAGGUAAGUUCUGACCCGCAUGAAAGGCGUAAUGAUUUGGGCACUGUCUCAACAGCCCGCCCGGCGAAAUUGUAGUACCGGUGAAGAUGCCGGUUACCCGCGACAAGACGGAAAGACCCCAUGGAGCUUUACUGUAGCCUAAUAUUGGGUUUCGAUGUUGCAUGCACAGGAUAGAUGGGACUCUGGGAAACCAAGGCUUUGGCUUUGGCGGAGAGGCCGUUGGGAUACCAUCCUUGCGAUAUUGGAAUUCUAACCUGCGGCUCUGAAUCGAGUCGGGGGACAUUGUUAGGUGGGCAGUUUGACUGGGGCGGUCGCCUCCUAAAGAGUAACGGAGGCGUUCAAAGGUUCGCUCAGCUUGAACGGAAAUCAAGCAAAAGAGUGCAAACGCAGAAGCGAGCCUAACUGCGAGACUGACGGGUCGAGCAGUAACGAAAGUUGGAGUUAGUGAUCCGGUGGUAUGUGAGUGGAAAUGCCAUCGCUCAACGGAUAAAAGUUACCCUGGGGAUAACAGGCUGAUCUCCCCCAAGAGUCCACAUCGACGGGGAGGUUUGGCACCUCGAUGUCGGCUCAUCGCAUCCUGGGGCUGUAUUCGGUCCCAAGGGUUUGGCUGUUCGCCAAUUAAAGCGGUACGCGAGCUGGGUUCAGAACGUCGUGAGACAGUUCGGUCCCUAU